ACAAGCGGUGGAUGAUGUGGUUUAAUUCGAUGCAACGCGAAAACCUUACCCACCUUUGACAUGUACGGAACCCUUUAGAGAUAGAGGGGUGCUCGAAAGAGAGCCGUAACACAGGUGCUGCAUGGCUGUCGUCAGCUCGUGUCGUGAGAUGUUGGGUUAAGUCCCGCAACGAGCGCAACCCUUGUCAUUAGUUGCUACAUUCAGUUGGGCACUCUAAUGAGACUGCCGGUGACAAGCCGGAGGAAGGUGGGGAUGACGUCAAGUCCUCAUGGCCCUUAUAGGUGGGGCUACACACGUCAUACAAUGGCUGGUACAAAGGGUUGCCAACCCGCGAGGGGGAGCCAAUCCCAUAAAGCCAGUCGUAGUCCGGAUCGCAGUCUGCAACUCGACUGCGUGAAGUCGGAAUCGCUAGUAAUCGUGGAUCAGCAUGUCACGGUGAAUACGUUCCCGGGUCUU
RNAcentral lists this ribosomal RNA (456 nucleotides) under uncultured Rhodoferax sp. RNAcentral describes it as "bacterial SSU rRNA". It matches the Rfam family "Bacterial small subunit ribosomal RNA", at positions 925 to 1382 of the family's 1533-position model. The record is from RNAcentral. Lineage: Bacteria; Pseudomonadati; Pseudomonadota; Betaproteobacteria; Burkholderiales; Comamonadaceae.